GGCUCGGUGGUUUAGUGGUCUAACACCUAGUGCUACGGGUAUGCCCGAGGCGCUGGUUCGAAUCCAGCCUGAGCCG
RNAcentral lists this transfer RNA (76 nucleotides) under Nippostrongylus brasiliensis. It matches the Rfam family "tRNA". Rfam says of the family: Transfer RNA (tRNA) molecules are approximately 80 nucleotides in length. Their secondary structure includes four short double-helical elements and three loops (D, anti-codon, and T loops). The record is from Rfam by way of RNAcentral. Lineage: Eukaryota; Metazoa; Nematoda; Chromadorea; Rhabditida; Heligmosomidae.